UACGUAGGAGGCAAGCGUUGUCCGGAAUUACUGGGCGUAAAGCGCACGUAGGCGGUCUUUUAAGUCGGGGGUGAAAUCCUGGAGCUCAACUCCAGAACUGCCUUCGAUACUGAGAGACUUGAGUCCGGGAGAGGUGAGUGGAACUGCGAGUGUAGAGGUGAAAUUCGUAGAUAUCGAGAGGAACACCGGUGGCGAAGGCGGCCAACUGGACGAGUACUGACGCUGAGACACGAAAGCGUGGGGAGCAAACAGG
Molecule: ribosomal RNA, 253 nt
Filed under: uncultured bacterium
Lineage: Bacteria
Description: partial 16S ribosomal RNA
Rfam family: Bacterial small subunit ribosomal RNA
Source: RNAcentral